Molecule: long non-coding RNA, 906 nt
Filed under: Sinocyclocheilus anshuiensis
Lineage: Eukaryota; Metazoa; Chordata; Actinopteri; Cypriniformes; Cyprinidae
Description: lncRNA (ENSSANG00000008497.1)
Source: RNAcentral
CCGACUUCUGCGUUUGUAAGAACAGGCCUGUACACUUAAAUGUUAAUGUAUCGUCGGUCCAAACAACUGUGUAUGUGAAUCUUUCCUCUGUUUGUAGUGAGCGUGGACUCUGAUAAUACAUACUUUGAGAAGGUGUCAGAAGAACUGGAGUUGAUUGUGAAGGAGAUUCAGUUCAGUCCAAAAGAAGAUUGUGCUCCGCUGCCCUCUGCUGCUUCUGUAGGAGACUGCAGCUCUUCAGGUGAUGACACUACAGAGCGGAUUAUCAGCCUGCUGAAGCAACAUGGGGAUAUUAUUGAUCAGAAAAUAAGCAGGAACAAGAGUGUCCAAGACUUCCUCCAGAAACUGUCUUACAGCUCCUUCCAGCAGCUCGCUGAUCGCUACAUAGCCCAGAUCCCCAGUCCCCUUCCCCAGACCACAGACGCCUCUCCUGAGCUGGUCCGACUCGCCUUCACCCUGGACUUUACUGCCAAAGUGGCUGGAUUGUGCAGCCAGACGGUCGGUCGAAUCAUGGGGUUUGGUAACCAGUACCUUCAGGAUUCCUUCACACAAAUGUGUGCAGCCCACAGACAGGUGCCUGAAGAUUUGGAAGAACAGAGUACAAGUGAUACAGACUGACUGUGAAGUCAAAAACUACAAAAAAAAAGUGCAAUAGAGUUAACUCAGGGGGGAAAAACUGUGAUAUAUUUGUAGCUGCUUUUGUGAAUAAGCCAAAUUUAGUAGUUUGUUUAUACUGUAAGCUUUAUACAAUGACCGACUGUAAAAAUUACAACAGGGUUGAACCUGAUACUAAAACUGUGAAUAAGAAAUGUUUUUUGAACACCACAUUAGCAUAUUCUAAUGAUUUCUGAAUGAUAAUGUGACAUUGAAGACUGGAGUAAUGACUGCUUAUUUUAAAUUAUAAUUGAG